CCUUCGGGAACUCUGAGACAGGUGCUUGCUGGCUGUCGUCAAGGAUCUUGUUGAGAAAUGUUGGGUUAAGUCCCGCAACGAGCGCAACCCUUUUCCUUUGUUGCCAGUCGGUUCGGCCGGGAACUCUAAGGAGACUCGCCAGUGAUAAACUGGAGGAAGGUGGGGAUGACGUCAANUCAUCAAGGCCCUUACGAGUAGGGCUACACCCGUGCUACAAUGGCAUAUACAAAGAGAAGCGACCUCCCGAGAGNAAGCNGAUCUCAUAAAGUNUGUCUGUAGUCCGGAUUGGAGUCUGCAACUCGACUCCAUGAAGUCGGAAUCGCUAGUAAUCGUGGAUCAGAAUGCCCCGGGGAAAACGUUCCCGGGCCUCG
RNAcentral lists this ribosomal RNA (371 nucleotides) under uncultured bacterium. RNAcentral's name for it is "bacterial SSU rRNA". It matches the Rfam family "Bacterial small subunit ribosomal RNA", at positions 1017 to 1383 of the family's 1533-position model. The record is from RNAcentral.